ACCGCCCUAUGCGCAAUUCAUUUUCAUACAUGAACUCACCUUGAAUCGAAAGUGAACAUCAUUAUGUAUGGAAUAAUUCAGUUAUUCUGUUGUUGACCAUAACAACUUUCUAAUAGUUCUCUCUUUUCAAUGGGCUCGCCAUUUCUUCCGAGGGGAUUAUUAUUUAUGAUGAUUUUCUGAGAGGAUGCUAAUGGAAGCGACGAGAACCUUCUAGAAAUGGUUACCGGGUCACAAAAGCGAGGAUCGAUAAUCCUGGGUUACCAGAAAAUUCUGGUCUCUGCGUCAGCGCUGCAUCUGCGCUCUGUACCAUCACAUUUUUUUUAUCAUUUUUUUCUGCAAAGAUAUGAGGUGUAAAAAUAGAAUUUGUGGUCGUCGUUGAUUAUGUCAUGCACCAGGUGCAGCAAUCGCUGCAAUAUGGACCUGUGAGGUUCUCAAUUGAGACGCAGUAGAUGGUAUUGAUUUUCAUUGCACCCAGCGGUGGAACACUCUGGAAAAUGGAGAAGCCAAUGGUUGUCAGAUUUUAUCGAAUUGGCAAAAUAUGAAAUUACUGGUUUCACUCUCGUAGUUUUGUGACUGAAGUCACAAGUUAUUGGAUACCUUCACCAAAAAAUAGGUUUCUCAAUGUGUCUCAUUAAAUAAAUCAGAUAAAUUCGACUACGCAGUAGAAUAAAAUUUCUAUUGAUCGGGAGAUGGGUCAAAGUCGAGGUCAGUUGUACUCUUUAAUUUUUGGCUCAAUUUUCAGUAGUGAACCCCGAAAUGUUGCUGUUUGAAAUAUCAAAUAUUUCAAUAUUCAUUAACAUUGUUUCUCUGUUCAAGUAAUUUAAACAAUUAAUCACAUAUUUUUUUUAUAUUAUUCCUACAUUAAUAUUUUUGGUUGCAUACUGAAUGUAGGUCAACAGAAGUCAAUGCCUCUGUCAGUAAUAAACACCAACUCCCAAAAAUUCAAUUCUAUUUUUUUCGGUGGAAUUGCGUCGUAACAAUUUCUGCCAACGGAUCGCCAAGAAAAGCAAACAGCGCCAUUACUCUCCACUAAUUUGCAAGACAAUUAAAAGGUUGGGCAGAUGGUUAGAAAUACGCAGUAGACAAAAAAACCGUUGGUUCCCCUUCACCAUAAUCCGAUAUCAAACCGAAAAUUCAACUUUCUAAUCAUUCCCAGAAAUAGCGAAUUAGUUAUGCCUCGAUUUUUUAACAAACAAACUUCAACAAAUAAUGGCAGUUCUUGAGUAACCAUGAAUAGGUCAAGAUUUCAAGUUUUUAAAAAAUAAAAUUCAAUAACAAAGUGGUAACCUGGGAUAAGAGCAUUUUUUCAAGAUCAUUUUUUACCCAAUAUCUCCGGAUUGAAGAAACAUAGCGAAUUUUUCGAAUAAACAUUUUUUCCAGAAAAAUAUGAGAUCUACAAAAAAGGUAUCUUCGAAAAUAUCAGUCCUCCUCCAUCUCCGAGAAAUCCGGUAAAAACAAUUUUCGAAAAAAAAAUGCAAUUUAAAUCCACAACUUGGGAACAGAAUUCAACGGUGUUGAAUGGAAUCACGAUAAAUUCGGUAACUGCGUAGAAAUUUAGGGAGAGAUUGGCCGUUCGGUGUCGGUUAUACCCGUAGUAUACGAAUACAAUGAAUACAAGUGUUGAAAGAGAAGGUAAUUGUGUUGGGUAUGGUGUACGUGACGGUUGAAACCGCCGGGUUCUGGGUGAAAUGGUGGACGUGCUAGAAUCUUCCUCAACACCGGUUCAAUCAAUACUUUACCCGGUCACACAUUUUUCGUAAAAACCCAGUGAAUUCUCCGACAAUUGUGCGAUAUUUUCGUAUGAUAAAUCAUAAAAAAAUGGUGGGCUUUUUUUAAACCGUCAUUUGUGAUAAGAUUUAAUGUUUUUAAUGGUUUAUGGAGAAUGUGCGCAGUUUGUUUUGAGGGACCUGGGAUGGAACAUUCUGGAAGGUAGUGCGACUGGGCCGGGGGCUAUAUAAGGCGGCCGGCACUGCCGGCAUCUCGUAUUCGUAAACAAACCACUGCAGAGUUCAGAUCAUUUUUUCAAACACCUCAAAACGUUAUUCAUUCAACGUGUAUAUUGUACAUUGACAGUAUUUCAUUAAUACGGUGAUACAAUGUAGAAACGGCGACGCAGUGCGGAGCGCGAGCAUUUGCCAGUGCCCUAGUGGCUUGGUGCUUGAACAAUCCGUACUUCAAUCAACACCUGUACCAGCUGUGGCGUUAGAUUUUCGUUUUUAAUCCGAUGAUUAUUCAAUAUCAACACUGAGCUGGAUUAAUUUCUAGAGCUUAAAAUUUCAAUCGAGAUGUAGCAUCACUCCUUAAGAAACCGAUCUCAUAAUCAUCAGAAGAGAAAAA
Fopius arisanus is the source of this 2337-nucleotide long non-coding RNA. RefSeq lists it as uncharacterized. The record is from RefSeq and is a predicted model, not a curated record. NCBI's taxonomy places the organism in Eukaryota, Metazoa, Arthropoda, Insecta, Hymenoptera, Braconidae. The transcript has 5 exons.